RNAcentral lists this ribosomal RNA (485 nucleotides) under Subulicystidium brachysporum. RNAcentral's name for it is "LSU rRNA". It matches the Rfam family "Eukaryotic large subunit ribosomal RNA", at positions 50 to 536 of the family's 3401-position model. Lineage: Eukaryota; Fungi; Basidiomycota; Agaricomycetes; Trechisporales; Hydnodontaceae. The record is from RNAcentral.
GCGGAGGAAAAGAAACUAACAAGGAUUCCCCUAGUAACUGCGAGUGAAGCGGGAAGAGCUCAAAUUUGAAAUCUGGCGGUUCUGCCGUCCGAGUUGUAAUCUGGAGAAGCGUUUUCCGUGCCGGACCGUGUACAAGUCCCUUGGAACAGGGCCUCAUAGAGGGUGAGAAUCCCGUCUUUGACACGGACUCCCGGUGCUCUGCGAUGCGCUCUCGAAGAGUCGAGUUGUUUGGGAAUGCAGCUCAAAAUGGGUGGUAAAUUCCAUCUAAAGCUAAAUAUUGGCGAGAGACCGAUAGCGAACAAGUACCGUGAGGGAAAGAUGAAAAGCACUUUGGAAAGAGAGUAAAACAGUACGUGAAAUUGUUGAAAGGGAAACGCUUGAAGUCAGUCGCGUCUUCUGGAACUCAGCCUUGCUUCUGCUCGGUGCACUUUCCAGUUUGACGGGUCAGCAUCGGCUCUGGGGGGUGGACAAAGGCGCGGGGAAGG